Molecule: long non-coding RNA, 662 nt
Organism: Homo sapiens (human)
Lineage: Eukaryota; Metazoa; Chordata; Mammalia; Primates; Hominidae
Source: Ensembl
AGGGAAAGGGGACGGGAACCCUGGCGAGGAGGAGCGUCCCCCGACUCCACGCUGAGCUUUCUGGGUGGGCUCCUUUCUCUGAGCCCCGCCGAUGCAUCAGCGCCUUGGCCCAAGGGAGGGGGGCCGGGGGUGGAGCUCACGGCCUACCCACAUGCUCCCGUCUGGAGGCCCCAGUGGGUCGUGGGCAGCAAGUUUCCCUUCACACAGGGGAAGACCCUGGUUCCAGCCUGAACAUCCCCUGUGGCCACUGUUCUUAGCAUUUACCAGGUGUGUCUAAUGAGUGUUUUCUGCACCAAUAAUCAUGCUAACAGCGCUUACAACGUGCCAGGCUAGGUUAAGAGCUCUCCUUUUAUCAAUAAUUCACCGAUCCCCAGCCUCCACUCCUCGGAGGAUACUGUUCUAUCUGCUUCCUUCAAGUGGGGAAACCAAGGCAGAGUCACUAGGCCAAUAUUUACUAAACAAACAAUAUUUGCUACUGCUGUGAAAGGGGGCCACUGGGGCCUCCAGCUCUUCGGUCUCUAGCGUACGCCAGCCCUUGCUUGUAGGCGGUGACCCGCCCCGGGCUACGGGUUCCCGUGAUUCGUACCAAGCCAUUCCCCCGCAGUUUCCCGCGACAGGAGCUCCACGGGUGGGUUCAGAGCUCGCACGGCUGCGAACCCGGC